GUGCUCGCUUCGGCAGCACAUAUACUAAAAUUGGAACGAUACAGAAAAUAUUAGCAUGGCCCCUGCACAAGGAUGAUACGCAAAUUAAUGAAGCAUUCCAAAAAAAA
Small nuclear RNA from Microtus oregoni (creeping vole), 107 nucleotides. NCBI's taxonomy places the organism in Eukaryota, Metazoa, Chordata, Mammalia, Rodentia, Cricetidae. The record is from RefSeq and is a predicted model, not a curated record.